UUUUCACAAAAAAACCUUUUUAUAAACAUACAAGUUUAUACACAUAAGCCUAUAAAAAGGAAUCGACUUUCAUCAAAAUAGAAUUGUCCUAUGAUUAACUAGUCAGACAAGAACGCUGAUUCUUCGGGCUUCACCUUCUAAACUUCGGGCCUCGGGUCCUUCACCGCUGUCAACUAGGGACUUGAAAAUGAUAUCCCACAAUGGGGUGAGACAGUGUCAUAGUAAGUUCAACCCCUUAAGACCUGAUUAGGAAGAAAAUACACCUAAAGGGCUGCCUAAGUACAAUCACGAAUCAUAGGGCUUACCUUGGCCUUAGUUCCUUCCUACAAGUCAAUUCAAUAAACAAUCAUCGAAUUACAUCAUCACAUCAAUCAAGAAUUCAUAUCGAGUCAUCGAUUAAUCGACUCAGUCGAUUACAAGCCAACGAGACCAUUCUCCGAUCAUCUCAUUUAUUCAAACUCAACGCUGACUUACAGCUUAGCGAGCAUGGCCUACUAAAUCUUUGGCGGUAAUGCUGAAUUAUGGCUCAGUGGGCACAGCCUACUAAAUAUUUGGUGGUAAUGCUGAAUUACGGUUCAGCGAGCACAAUCGAUUCCAAAUUCGAUGGUAGAUUAUGGUCUAGUGGACACAACCAUACUUUGGUGGUAAUGCUGAAUUAUGGCUUAGCAGCACAACCGAUUCCAAGUUCGGUGGUUUUCUUGAUAUAACCCACAACAUCACACGAUUAUUUACCCCCAGCCAACAACAUUACACUUCUCAACUUGAUUACUCAAUUAACAAGACAUCUUGGCCCAUUUUCCUCAUAUUAACAGUACUCGAUAAAAUAAUCGUGUAUGGGUACACGGUCGGCCUUAACAAAAAAUAUAAUAUCUUUACUUUCAAAAUUUCCACAAUUUAUAUAGUCUAUAAAAACAUUUUUGGCGCUAUAAACCAACGCCCAGUAAUUUUCUAAUUAAAUACUGAAAUUUAAUAAAUUUAGGAAUAAAUUCCCAAAUUCCCAAAUCACACACAAUUAGCACAAAUUAGAGCUCAAUUAAAUAAAUAGAUUAUACCACUACAAUCAGCAUAAAAAUCCGAUCACCGGCUAUUCCGUUCUAAUUUCCGGAAAAUAAAUAAUUACGGAAAUUAAUAAAUAAAUGCCAAAAAUUCGACUUAGGCCCAAAAAAACCUAAUUGGAAGCCAAGAUGAGCUUGGAAAAAUUUCUGAACUACUCUAAAUUAAUACUUGAGCUUGUCUAGGCCCUAAUUGCACUAAACUAUCCACCUUAACAUGCAUCGAUAAUUAACUAAUUUAUUAAACCGUUCUAAUUAUCCACUAAACCAAGCUUAGUCUAAACUAAUCAACCCUUAAACAUCAUUAACUUACUAAGCGAGGAUUAGUGAGUUAAACUCACCUGAUUAAUGAUAUGGUCAGAUCAAAACGAUGGAGACGCGGCGAGGAAUGAAAAGCUCCAAAGCGGCAAUGCCAACGGGGCAUGGAUCGGGCUUGAAAAUUGGCCCGAGGAAGCCCACGACGCUGCUGGUUUUCCUUGGCUGAAGGGCUGCUUUGAGUGGCUGAUUUCGCACGGGACGGCAAGCUCAAUCGCGGACGGGACUUCUCAUGGACGAAGGAGGAAGGCGAGCUGGCAGCGUGGCUUUGGUGGGACAAAAACGGAGACAGCAAGGAGGAGAAAAUGGAGUCGCCAAAGGGGAUGAGCAAAUGCGAAAGAGAGAGAUUGAAGGGGAUGAGUGCGUCGGCCAAGCAAAAAGAGGAUAAGCUUGACAAAAAAAAAGUGAAAGAUAAUGGGAGAGAAGGAAAAUGGGACACGGCAGAGAGAGGGAC
This 1821-nucleotide long non-coding RNA is filed under the name Eucalyptus grandis. Its description in RNAcentral is "long non-coding RNA (EGRA_LNC005005)". The record is from RNAcentral. Lineage: Eukaryota; Viridiplantae; Streptophyta; Magnoliopsida; Myrtales; Myrtaceae.